RNAcentral lists this ribosomal RNA (394 nucleotides) under uncultured bacterium. RNAcentral describes it as "partial 16S ribosomal RNA". It matches the Rfam family "Bacterial small subunit ribosomal RNA", at positions 338 to 729 of the family's 1533-position model. The record is from RNAcentral.
CCUACGGGAGGCAGCAGUGAGGAAUAUUGGUCAAUGGUCGCGAGCCUGAACCAGCCAAGUAGCGUGAGGGAUGACUGCCCUACGUGUUGUAAACCUCUUUUGUCAGGGAAUAAAGGGGGGCACGUGUGCCUUUAUGUAUGUACUUGAUGAAUAAGGAUCGGCUAACUCCGUGCCAGCAGCCGCGGUAAUACGGAGGAUCCGAGCGUUAUCCGGAUUUAUUGGGUUUAAAGGGAGCGUAGAUGGGUUGUUAAGUCAGUUGUGAAAGUUUGGGGCUCAACCGUAAAAUUGCAAUUGAUACUGGCAGCCGUGAGUAGAAGAGAGGUAGGCGGAAUGCGUGGUGUAGCGGUGAAAUGCAUAGAUAUCACGAAGAACUCCGAUUGCGAAGGCAGCAUGC